RNAcentral lists this long non-coding RNA (752 nucleotides) under Arabidopsis thaliana (thale cress). RNAcentral describes it as "long non-coding RNA (ATHA_LNC000003)". Lineage: Eukaryota; Viridiplantae; Streptophyta; Magnoliopsida; Brassicales; Brassicaceae. The record is from RNAcentral.
GGAAUAAUAUAUUAUUUGGUUUUGAAUGUUCUAAAAUAUGCAUGAGAUAAGCGGUAUGACGGCAGACAAAAUAAAAAAAAAAAAAAUAGUAAGAACAAUAUAUUUGAAAUCAUAUCAAGAGAAGCUUAAGUAAGUGAGAUAGUGAUCAUACAUACAAAUCCAGAGAAGGAUACAUCAAAAAUGAUCUUCUCUUUUUUUAGUAAAAACAUUAUUCAGAAACGGACACACAACAGAAAGAAAUUGACCCCAAAAAGAUUAAUCAAAUAGAGAUUUGUAUUCUCUCUUUGAAGACGCUUUCUCAUCACUCCUUUGUCUCUCCGUCCUUGUGUUUCCCCUUCUUUGGCUCAACGAAACAGAAGCAUGAACAACAAGGCAGCUGAAACAAAAACUUCAUCGUGAUUUGGAAUUGGCUCAACAGUACUACUUCGAUAUAUAUGCCUUUUAUAUUUAAUAUUAUGCCUUUGUUCUUCCAGUUUCAGAAUGAUUUUUGGGUUUCCUUUAUUCGUUUCAGAUUUUUGGAUGCUUUGCCAACCAAGUUGAUUCUCCCUUGAAAAGAAGAUGCCUCAUUCUAGCUACCACUUAUUUGGGGCAGAAUCAUAAUUUUGUAAAUUGAAAAUGAUUUUGCACAUCAGGAUGCCUUUUUCAGAGGGCUAGAUUUAUAUAUUUAUGUACUAUAUUUAUUUAAUAAAUUAUCAUAGUAAUCUUGUUUUCAUUAGGUUAGAGUUUCCAGGGUUUCAUGCUUUCAUGUGUUU